RNAcentral lists this ribosomal RNA (730 nucleotides) under uncultured bacterium. RNAcentral describes it as "bacterial SSU rRNA". It matches the Rfam family "Bacterial small subunit ribosomal RNA", at positions 674 to 1406 of the family's 1533-position model. The record is from RNAcentral.
UGUAGCGGUGAAAUGCUUAGAUAUCACGAAGAACCCCGAUUGCGAAGGCAGCUUGCCAGGCCUGGACUGACGUUGAGGCUCGAAGGUGCGGGUAUCGAACAGGAUUAGAUACCCUGGUAGUCCGCACGGUAAACGAUGGAUACUCGCUGUCGGCGAUACACGGUCGGCGGCCAAGCGAAAGCGUUAAGUAUCCCACCUGGGGAGUACGCCGGCAACGGUGAAACUCAAAGGAAUUGACGGGGGCCCGCACAAGCGGAGGAACAUGUGGUUUAAUUCGAUGAUACGCGAGGAACCUUACCCGGGCUUGAACUGUGCCUGACAGCCUCAGAGAUGGGGCUUCCAGCAAUGGCAGGCAUGGAGGUGCUGCAUGGUUGUCGUCAGCUCGUGCCGUGAGGUGUCGGCUUAAGUGCCAUAACGAGCGCAACCCCUCCCGCCAGUUGCCAUCAGGUAAAGCUGGGCACUCUGGGGGCACUGCCACCGCAAGGUGUGAGGAAGGUGGGGAUGACGUCAAAUCAGCACGGCCCUUACGUCCGGGGCUACACACGUGUUACAAUGGGAGGUCACAGAGGGCUGCUACCCGGCGACGGGACGCCAAUCCCCAAACCCUCCCUCAGUACGGACUGGAGUCUGCAACCCGACUCCACGAAGCUGGAUUCGCUAGUAAUCGCGCAUCAGCCACGGCGCGGUGAAUACGUUCCCGGGCCUUGUACACACCGCCCGUCAAGCCAUG